This 464-nucleotide ribosomal RNA is filed under the name uncultured bacterium. Its description in RNAcentral is "partial 16S ribosomal RNA". It matches the Rfam family "Bacterial small subunit ribosomal RNA", at positions 30 to 523 of the family's 1533-position model. The record is from RNAcentral.
AUUGAACGCUGGCGGCAGGCUUAACACAUGCAAGUCGAACGCGUUUAAAGGGGCAACUCUUUAAAUGAGUGGCAAACGGGUGAGGAAUACAUAGGAAUCUCCCCCGCAGUAAGGAAUAACAUUGGGAAACCAAUGCUAAUGCCAUAUAUUACCGAUUUAUCGGGAAAGAUUUAUCGCUGUUGGAUGAGCCUUUGUCGGAUUAGCUAGUUGGUAGGGUAAUGGCCUACCAAGGCAAUGAUCCGUAGCUGGUCUGAGAGGAUGAUCAGCCACAUUGGGACUGCGAAACGGCCCAAACUCCUAAGGGAGGCAGCAGUGGGGAAUAUUGGACAAUGGACGCAAGUCUGAUCCAGCAAUACCACGUGAGUGAUGAAGGCCUUCGGGUUGUAAAACUCUUUUAGUAGGGAAGAUAAUGACGGUACCUACAGAGAAAGCACCGGCUAACUUCGUGCCAGCAGCCGCGGUAA